Molecule: ribosomal RNA, 468 nt
Filed under: uncultured bacterium
Lineage: Bacteria
Description: partial 16S ribosomal RNA
Rfam family: Bacterial small subunit ribosomal RNA
Source: RNAcentral
GACGAACGCUGGCGGCGUGCUUAACACAUGCAAGUCGAACGGAAAGGCGCUGUUUUUGUGGGGUGCUCGGGUGGCGAACGGGAGAGUAACACGUGAGUAACCUGCCCUUGACUCUGGGAUAACAUCAGGACAUUAGGGUGAAUACCAGAUAGGAGCUUCUGCUGCAGGGUGGGGGUUGGAAUGGUUCGGCGGUUGGGGAUGGAGGCGCGGGUCAUCAGCGUGUUGGUGGGGUAGGGGGGUACAAAGGCUUUGAGGGGUGGCCGGCCUGAGAGGGUGACCGGCCACAAUGGGACUGCGAUACGACCCAGACGCGUACGGGAGGCAGCAGUGGGGAAUAUUGUGCAGUGGGCGCGAGCCUGAUGCGACGGCGCCGCGUGCGUUAUGACGGCCUUCGGGUUGUGAACCGCUUUCGCCUGUGACGUAGCGUGGGUGACGGUAGUGGGUUAAGAAGCACCGGCUAACUACGUG